AUUGAACGCUGGCGGCAGGCCUAACACAUGCAAGUCGAGCGGAUGAAGGGAGCUUGCUCCUGGAUUCAGCGGCGGACGGGUGAGUAAUGCCUAGGAAUCUGCCUGGUAGUGGGGGAUAACGUCCGGAAACGGGCGCUAAUACCGCAUACGUCCUGAGGGGGAAAGUGGGGGAUCUUCGGACCUCACGCUAUCAGAUGAGCCUAGGUCGGAUUAGCUAGUUGGUGGGGUAAAGGCCUACCAAGGCGACGAUCCGUAACUGGUCUGAGAGGAUGAUCAGUCACACUGGAACUGAGACACGGUCCAGACUCCUACGGGAGGCAGCAGUGGGGAAUAUUGGGCAAUGGGCGAAAGCCUGAUCCAGCCAUGCCGCGUGUGUGAAGAAGGUCUUCGGAUUGUAAAGCACUUUAAGUUGGGAGGAAGGGCAGUAAGUUAAUACCUUGCUGUUUUGACGUUACCAACAGAAUAAGCACCGGCUAACUUCGUG
RNAcentral lists this ribosomal RNA (484 nucleotides) under uncultured bacterium. Its description in RNAcentral is "partial 16S ribosomal RNA". It matches the Rfam family "Bacterial small subunit ribosomal RNA", at positions 30 to 507 of the family's 1533-position model. The record is from RNAcentral.